CUUGAACGCUGGCGGCAGGCCUAACACAUGCAAGUCGAACGAGUGGCGGACGGGUGAGUAAUGUCGGGACAACUGCCUGAUCGAGGGGGAUAACUACUGGAAAAGGUGGAUAAUCCCGCAUACCAUCGGAUGUGGCCAGGUGGGAUUAGCUAGUAGGUGGGGGAACGGCUCACCUAGGCGAAGAUCCCGAGCUGGGCGGAGAGGAUGACCAGCCACACUGGAACUGAGACACGGUCCAGACGCCUACGGGAGGCAGCAGUGGGGAAUAUUGCGCAAUGGACGCAAGCCGGAGGCAGCAAUGCCGCGUGUAUGAAGAAGGCCUUCGGGUUGUAAAGUACGGUCAGCGGGGAGGCGUUACCCGCAGAAGAAGCACCGGCUAACUCCGUGCCAGCCGCCGCGGUAAUAC
Molecule: ribosomal RNA, 406 nt
Filed under: uncultured bacterium
Lineage: Bacteria
Description: partial 16S ribosomal RNA
Rfam family: Bacterial small subunit ribosomal RNA
Source: RNAcentral